RNAcentral lists this ribosomal RNA (478 nucleotides) under uncultured bacterium. RNAcentral's name for it is "partial 16S ribosomal RNA". It matches the Rfam family "Bacterial small subunit ribosomal RNA", at positions 28 to 523 of the family's 1533-position model. The record is from RNAcentral.
GACGAACGCUGGCGGCGUGCUUAACACAUGCAAGUCGAACGGUAAGGCCCUUCGGGGUACACGAGUGGCGAACGGGUGAGUAACACGUGGGUGAUCUGCCCUGCACUUCGGGAUAAGCCUGGGAAACUGGGUCUAAUACCGGAUAGGACCACUGCCUGCAUGGGUGGUGGUGGAAAGCUUUUGCGGUGUGGGAUGGGCCCGCGGCCUAUCAGCUUGUUGGUGGGGUGAUGGCCUACCAAGGCGACGACGGGUAGCCGGCCUGGGAGGGUGACCGGCAACACGGGGACUGAGAUACGGCCCAGACUCCUACGGGAGGCAGCAGUGGGGAAUAUUGCACAAUGGGCGCAAGCCUGAUGCAGCGACGCCGCGUGAGGGAUGACGGCCUUCGGGUUGUAAACCUCUUUCAGCACCGACGAAGCGCAAGUGACGGUAGGUGCAGAAGAAGGACCGGCCAACUACGUGCCAGCAGCCGCCGUAA